UCACCCUGAUUAGGCUUUGAGGGACUGUCUCUGCAAAAGCAGAGGAAGGAAGGACCGUGCAGCUGUGUAGAGUUGGAAUUGAUCCCUAAGGCUGGACAUGGGGCGGGAAAGCCCCAAGGCACUAAGACAAAGGGGGAAGGCAUGAAUGCCACGGACAUAUGUGGAGAUCAGAGGACAGCGUUCACGAGUCCUUCAAAAACAGGUCUGGAACCUAAGUCUCGCCAGGACUCACUCAAAGCCGUGCCUCACGUUCACCUUGCUACUACUCCACAUGGUGUGGACUAAGAGUACAUCCUGGAGGACUGAAGUUUGUGAUUAGCUACACCAUCCCCAAAGAAACAGAGACUCCUCCAUUUUUCUCUCCAAUGCUCCCUACAACACACACAACACCUUUAAAAUACUGGGACAGGGCACCACAAAGAGACCUACAGGGCUACAAGGUGUAGAACCUCUGUAGGAGCACAGUUAGGUCAUGGGGAAGAAAAAAAAUUGCUCCAGACCAACAGGCAAAGCCAAAGAAGCACCCCAGAAAAAUGAAAAUGUGUAGAGCCCAAAAUAAACGAAUUGCCCUUCCCUUACCCAGUGCUCCAGUGGAAAGGAAAAUGGAUAGGCUUGCCUUCUGGCCAGGCCUGGGAGCUUGAUCAGAUUCAGACAGACACACCCAUGCACUCAGCAGUAAGCUCUGAGCUACAAGAGCCAAACCUUGGGCUUCCCAAAAGCCAAAGGAGAAGCAGCCCCAGUCUGGGUCCAGGGCUCUUGUUCAAAGCCACCGUCUCCUCAGACACUGCAGGCCGUCAGGCAGGGCUAUAAAAUGUGCCUCGACUGAAUUUUUCCACGGACACAGCCCCGAAUGGGACUACCAGGCUCUGAAGGAGCGUCAGGCUCGCUGACUGGGCUCCAGGAGCUGCAGCUGGAAAGAGGGAGGCUAUUUGUGUGUCAGGGUUGCCAUUUCUCUCCUGAAUCUCUUUCCAAGGCCUAGUGGGAGCAAAUCGAGUAAGUUUUCAUUCAGGGCUGGUUUGGGGCUGGAAUUCAGUGCAAAUUGCUUACAUCUGCUUGGCCAUGUCCCAGACAAGCAGGUAGUUUAGAGAAAGGAGGGGCUGUAUCAGCCCACUUCUGUAGCCCAGGUAGCUUGCCAGCCGCUAAGGAAUCAAAGGCCUGCUAGGGUCUAUCAGUCCAGGCUGCAGAACUCUCUGACCAAGUUGAAUAAAAACACCAGGGCAACCAGAGACAAUAGGACUUUCACCCUAAAUAUGACUGGUGGGCUGGGACUGGGAAACCACAAAGAUACCUAAAGGGAGGUGAGAUGUAGGGCCAGGUUAGCCUGAAGGAGCAAUGGCAGAGUUUAGACACUUCAACCUCUGCACAACAAGGGUGAAUGCACUAACCUCAUACAUUUGGUAACCUCUUUCCACACCCCAGAAGCCUGCCAAGCCCCUGGACUUUUCACCCCACCCACCCCAGCUUGGCAGUUUUGCUGGGGCUUCCAGCUUCUAUCAUCGCACCAAAGCUGCAGCUGUGUAAAACUGAAAAAUGAGGGGCAAGUACUGCCCAGGAGAGGAGCACUUUCCCGGAGGGCCGGGGACUCGGGCCUGAAGGUCCUAGUCUCUCCUGCAAGCUUUCAGUCUUCUGCUUUUGCAGUAUCCUUAUAAGGCCAACCCUACCCUCCGCCUGGCCGAAAAUGUGUACCGUCCCGAGGUUGGACGCUGACUUCUCACUCCCGCUGCACAGGAAGGCACCACUCCCACCACCCCCCACUCCAGGACAGGUUUUGCUCUUAAACAAACUAAUAAACAAAUCGACUCCAAAGCGG
RNAcentral lists this long non-coding RNA (1810 nucleotides) under Mus musculus (house mouse). RNAcentral describes it as "predicted gene 28609". The record is from RNAcentral. Lineage: Eukaryota; Metazoa; Chordata; Mammalia; Rodentia; Muridae.